GGGGAUAUAGCUCAGUUGGGAGAGCGCUACGUUGACAUCGUAGAGGUCACUGGUUCGAGCCCAGUUAUUCCCA
Molecule: transfer RNA, 73 nt
Filed under: Halobacteroides halobius DSM 5150
Lineage: Bacteria; Bacillati; Bacillota; Clostridia; Halanaerobiales; Halobacteroidaceae
Rfam family: tRNA
About the family: Transfer RNA (tRNA) molecules are approximately 80 nucleotides in length. Their secondary structure includes four short double-helical elements and three loops (D, anti-codon, and T loops). Further hydrogen bonds mediate the characteristic L-shaped molecular structure. tRNAs have two regions of fundamental functional importance: the anti-codon, which is responsible for specific mRNA codon recognition, and the 3' end, to which the tRNAs corresponding amino acid is attached (by aminoacyl-tRNA synthetases). tRNAs cope with the degeneracy of the genetic code in two manners: having more than one tRNA (with a specific anti-codon) for a particular amino acid; and 'wobble' base-pairing, i.e. permitting non-standard base-pairing at the 3rd anti-codon position.
Source: Rfam by way of RNAcentral